AUUAGUAUGCCAAAACAAGUUCAAGGAUCUACUGAUGAAAAAAUCUCUAAGAAGAAGAAAAAUUACUAUAAAGUGUCCACUAACGUCACUUAGUAAUUUUCUGAAUAAGAAUAAAGAACAAAUUGAAGAGGAGCAAGAAAAUUAAGAUGAGCAAGAAGGUGAAGAGACACAAGAAGGUGAAGAUAGGCCAGAACAUGAACAAGGAGAACAAAAUGAUAUGGUACAGGAAGUUGAUAAGGAUAUCAACCAUCAAAUGAGCAUGAUGAUGAAAUAUGUAAUAGUACAAACCAAGGAAACAUUAUUGUUUAGGUAAUCUUUGGUUAUUUCAUUCAUGUUUUCAAUGUAUGAAUUCUAUAUUGUUUAUUUAUAACUUUGUCAAUUGGGUGAAACAUCAAAAUUAAGCGAAGGAAGACAAAAUCCUUGAAAGCUCGUGCAUGGUCACUUGAAGAUAGAAUAUAAGUCAUUUUUAACAAAUAUGACUGCCAAUUUGUUAAAUUUGGCAAUUUAGUAGGAAUAGUGGUUAGGAGUUCAGAUUUUUGUUCACAUGUUUACACUAAUUGGAAGGUUGCACCAGGCAAAGAGCUCAUAUAAACCUAUAUUAAGGUAUUAGUUCAGAAGUUGCACUUUUUUAAUUUAUCUAUAUCUACAUGUGUAUUUAGAUCUUUUUAAUUAUGCUUCUUUUCUUUAUAGCAGAAAUAUAUCAUUCCAAGGAUAAGGAAAAAGUUGUAUUCUCUAUUCUAAAUGAUGGUUUGAGGCAACACAAUUGCACAAUCAAGUAAGAGUACUUCAACAAGUAUAAAAGUAUACAUUAGCACCUGAAAAGUAGUCCCAAAGACAUACUCUAACCACGCUUUAGAGAAUUGAAACGUUGUUGGAGUCAUAAAACCAUUCAG
This 893-nucleotide long non-coding RNA is filed under the name Lupinus angustifolius (narrow-leaved blue lupine). Its description in RNAcentral is "long non-coding RNA (LANG_LNC002552)". The record is from RNAcentral. Lineage: Eukaryota; Viridiplantae; Streptophyta; Magnoliopsida; Fabales; Fabaceae.